This 625-nucleotide ribosomal RNA is filed under the name uncultured bacterium. RNAcentral's name for it is "bacterial SSU rRNA". It matches the Rfam family "Bacterial small subunit ribosomal RNA", at positions 61 to 671 of the family's 1533-position model. The record is from RNAcentral.
GUCGAGGGGCAACGGGGAUGUUAGCUUGCUAAUAUCUGCCGGCGACCUUCGCACGGGUGAGUAACGCGUAUGCGACCUGCCCGUCACAGGGGGAUAAUCCGGAGAAAUCCGGUCUAAUACCGCAUAAUAUCGUGAAUCUGCAUGGAUUUGCGAUUAAAGGAGCGAUCCGGUGACGGAUGGGCAUGCGUGACAUCAGCUAGUCGGCGGGGUAACGGCCCACCGAGGCGACGAUGUCUAGGGGUUCUGAGAGGAAGGUCCCCCACACUGGUACUGAGACACGGACCAGACUCCUACGGGAGGCAGCAGUGAGGAAUAUUGGUCAAUGGGCUUACGCCUGAACCAGCCAAGUCGCGUGAGGGAAGACUGCCCUAUGGGUUGUAAACCUCUUUUGUCAGGGAGCAACGCCGGCUACGUGUAGCCGGACUGAGAGUACCUGAAGAAAAAGCAUCGGCUAACUCCGUGCCAGCAGCCGCGGUAAUACGGAGGAUGCGAGCGUUAUCCGGAUUUAUUGGGUUUAAAGGGUGCGUAGGCGGAAUGCCAAGUCAGCGGUAAAAUCGCGGGGCUCAACCUCGCUCCGCCGUUGAAACUGGCGUUCUUGAGUGGGCGAGAAGUAUGCGGAAUGCGU